This 274-nucleotide ribosomal RNA is filed under the name uncultured bacterium. Its description in RNAcentral is "partial 16S ribosomal RNA". It matches the Rfam family "Bacterial small subunit ribosomal RNA", at positions 523 to 796 of the family's 1533-position model. The record is from RNAcentral.
AUACGGAGGGGGUUAGCGUUGUUCGGAAUUACUGGGCGUAAAGCGCACGUAGGCGGACUGAUCAGUUAGAGGUGAAAUCCCAGGGCUCAACCCUGGAACUGCCUUUAAUACUGUCAGUCUAGAGAUCGAGAGAGGUGAGUGGAAUUCCAAGUGUAGAGGUGAAAUUCGUAGAUAUUUGGAGGAACACCAGUGGCGAAGGCGGCUCACUGGCUCGAUACUGACGCUGAGGUGCGAAAGCGUGGGGAGCAAACAGGAUUAGAAACCCCGGUAGUCC